AUACGGAGGAUGCAAGCGUUAUCCGGAUUUAUUGGGUUUAAAGGGUGCGUAGGCGGUUUGCUAAGCGGGAGGUGAAAUGCCGGCGCUCAACGUCGGAAGUGCCUCCCGAACUGGUGGACUUGAAUGACUCUGCCGUGGGAGGAAUGUGUAGUGUAGCGGUGAAAUGCUUAGAGAUUACACAGAACACCUAUUGCGAAGGCAUCUCACGAAGGGUUGAUUGACGCUGAGGCACGAAAGCGUGGGGAUCAAACAGGAUUAGAUACCCUGGUAGUCCACGCAGUAAACGAUGAUGGUUAACCGCUGGAUCCAUCGGUUCAGUGGCCAAGCGAAAGCGAUAAGCCAUCCACCUGGGGAGUACGACCGCAAGGUUGAAACUCAAAUGAAUUGACGGGG
Molecule: ribosomal RNA, 393 nt
Filed under: uncultured bacterium
Lineage: Bacteria
Description: partial 16S ribosomal RNA
Rfam family: Bacterial small subunit ribosomal RNA
Source: RNAcentral